ACAUCCAGAGAAUUUAGCAGAGAUGCUUUAGUGCCUUCGGGAACUCUGAGACAGGUGCUGCAUGGCUGUCGUCAGCUCGUGUUGUGAAAUGUUGGGUUAAGUCCCGCAACGAGCGCAACCCUUAUCCUUUGUUGCCAGCACGUAAUGGUGGGAACUCAAAGGAGACUGCCGGUGAUAAACCGGAGGAAGGUGGGGAUGACGUCAAGUCAUCAUGGCCCUUACGAGUAGGGCUACACACGUGCUACAAUGGCGCAUACAAAGAGAAGCGACCUCGCGAGAGCAAGCGGACCUCAUAAAGUGCGUCGUAGUCCGGAUUGGAGUCUGCAACUCGACUCCAUGAAGUCGGAAUCGCUAGUAAUCGUAAAUCAGAAUGUUACGGUGAAUACGUUCCCGGGCCGUGUACACACCGCCCGUCACACCAUGGGAGUGGGUUGCAAAAGAAGUAGAUAGCUUAACCUUCGGGAGGGCGUUUACCACUUUGUGAUUCAUGACUGGGGUGAAGUCGUAACAAGGUAAGCGUAGUGCU
Molecule: ribosomal RNA, 526 nt
Filed under: uncultured bacterium
Lineage: Bacteria
Description: bacterial SSU rRNA
Rfam family: Bacterial small subunit ribosomal RNA
Source: RNAcentral